AGAGUUUGAUCUUGGCUCAGGACGAACGCUGGCGGCGUGCCUAAUACAUGCAAGUCGAGCGAACUUGCCUAGAUGAUUUUAGUGCUUGCACUAAAUGAAACUAGAUACAAGCGAGCGGCGGACGGGUGAGUAACACGUGGGUAACCUGCCCAAGAGACUGGGAUAACACCUGGAAACAGAUGCUAAUACCGGAUAACAACACUAGACGCAUGUCUAGAGUUUGAAAGAUGGUUCUGCUAUCACUCUUGGAUGGACCUGCGGUGCAUUAGCUAGUUGGUAAGGUAACGGCUUACCAAGGCAAUGAUGCAUAGCCGAGUUGAGAGACUGAUCGGCCACAUUGGGACUGAGACACGGCCCAAACUCCUACGGGAGGCAGCAGUAGGGAAUCUUCCACAAUGGACGAAAGUCUGAUGGAGCAACGCCGCGUGAGUGAAGAAGGGUUUCGGCUCGUAAAGCUCUGUUGGUAGUGAAGAAAGAUAGAGGUAGUAACUGGCCUUUAUUUGACGGUAAUUACUUAGAAAGUCACGGCUAACUACGUGCCAGCAGCCGCGGUAAUACGUAGGUGGCAAGCGUUGUCCGGAUUUAUUGGGCGUAAAGCGAGUGCAGGCGGUUCAAUAAGUCUGAUGUGAAAGCCUUCGGCUCAACCGGAGAAUUGCAUCAGAAACUGUUGAACUUGAGUGCAGAAGAGGAGAGUGGAACUCCAUGUGUAGCGGUGGAAUGCGUAGAUAUAUGGAAGAACACCAGUGGCGAAGGCGGCUCUCUGGUCUGCAACUGACGCUGAGGCUCGAAAGCAUGGGUAGCAAACAGGAUUAGAUA
This 816-nucleotide ribosomal RNA is filed under the name uncultured bacterium. RNAcentral describes it as "bacterial SSU rRNA". It matches the Rfam family "Bacterial small subunit ribosomal RNA", at positions 8 to 784 of the family's 1533-position model. The record is from RNAcentral.